UGUUAAUUACCUUUGUGGCUUUACGAUCUUAUAUGAACUUGAUGAUAUAAUAGUGAUACCAUUCGGUUGGUCCCAGCUGUACGCUGAUGUUGUUUUUCUGGCCUUUAGCGACAAAAAUUAGAAGUAUUUUUGUUUCUCAAUUUUCAUUUGCACUUAUGUUUGCUGCUAUUAAUUGAUGAAUGAGAUGGAUGAUAGUUGAUAAUAGAUGUUGUCAAUUCUCCCUCUCUACAUGUACAGGAUUAUGCCAAAAGCUCUCAUGCCUCUUGAGGUAUUUUUGCUACUCUAACCUUUUAAAUUUCGAUGACCCUUGUCACGUUGUUUUGCUUUCUGCAUACAGUUAAUGAUCACCAGCAAUGCGUUGGUUCUUGUUUGGUCUCUUGGCUUACUCUCAAGAUAUGAACGCGACCUACAGUAUCUGAACGGAACCUACUGCAGAUUUUGACUAUGGAAUCAUCUUCAUGAUGCCCGAUGUCAUCGUUCUUCGCAGCUUCUCUUCAUCAUUUUAGGGAAGUUCCAAAUAAUUUUCACUUAAUCUUCUCUGUUCAGUUUACUCAGGUUUUCAUUUUCUUCUUCCCUUUUGUCAAGGAAAAAGGACCUCAGACGAAGAUAUUUCUAAAAUUUCUCUUUGGUUUCACUUCAGGCCUCUGAUGGAAGGAAGAAGAUUGUGGGGAUGUUCUACAAGGACAAGAAGAUUCUGGACUAUUCUUCUCUCAGGGCAUGCUAAAAUACACGCAAUCUUGCUCCUGCAAUUCGAAGCUUGUAGCUGUCUGUUGCUGCUGGAGUGCUGGGUAAGUAAGAGAAUUAAUUUGUAUUUAAAUUUAGAUUUCCGGGUAGUGCAGUGUAGUGAGAGUGUGAGACUUAUCCCCAAAUCAUUUUUUCAAGAAAAUAGAAAUAAUAUUAAUAAGAAAGAUCAUGAGAACAACC
Molecule: long non-coding RNA, 924 nt
Organism: Lotus japonicus
Lineage: Eukaryota; Viridiplantae; Streptophyta; Magnoliopsida; Fabales; Fabaceae
Exons: 3
Source: RefSeq, a predicted model, not a curated record